RNAcentral lists this ribosomal RNA (774 nucleotides) under uncultured Neocallimastigales. RNAcentral describes it as "partial large subunit ribosomal RNA". It matches the Rfam family "Eukaryotic large subunit ribosomal RNA", at positions 24 to 635 of the family's 3401-position model. Lineage: Eukaryota; Fungi; Neocallimastigomycota; Neocallimastigomycetes; Neocallimastigales. The record is from RNAcentral.
UAUCUCUGUAGAGUCUGCAUAUCAAUAAGCGGAGGAAAAGAAACUAACUAGGAUUCCCUUAGUAACGGCGAGUGAAGCGGGAAGAGCUCAAAUUUGAAAUCUUCAAGGUUCUACCUUGACGAAUUGUAGUUUAAAGAAGUGUUUUCUGUUGGUGUUUUGGUAAAAGUUCUUUGGAAUAGGACAUCAUAGAGGGUGAGAAUCCCGUAUUUGACCAUUACUUCCAGCGUUGUGAUACACUUUCAAAGAGUCGGAUUGUUUGGGAAUGCAGUCCAAAAUGGGUGGUAAAUUUCAUCUAAAGCUAAAUAUUGGCGAGAGACCGAUAGCGAACAAGUACCGUGAGGGAAAGAUGAAAAGAACUUUGAAAAGAGAGUUAAACAGUACGUGAAAUUGUCAAAAGGGAAGCGUUUGACACCAGUGUUGUUUUUCUGAAAAUCAAUUAAAGAACUGUUUAUGCUAAGUUGUUUAGACUUUAUCAGCUAACUGUUUAGUUUUGAGCUUUUCUUUAAUGCACUUUUCAGUUAACAAGUCAACAUCAAUUUCUUUUGCUGUAAAAAAGCUUGAGGAAGGUGGCUUGAGAUUCGUCUUAAGUGUUUAUAGCCUCUUGCCUAUGCAGUCGGAGAGAUUGAGGUCUGCAGCGUAGAUCCUUCGGGGCUAAAUGCAUUUGUGCUAAGUUAUAGCAUUUUAUAGACAACUUGUUGACUAUGAUUUGUCUUGUAGCUUACUCGCUUAUGUUAUUUUACCUACGCUUAGGAUGUUGACGAUCAGCUGAGCGCG